CCUAACACAUGCAAGUCGAGGGGUAACAGGAAAGCUUGCUCUUGCUGACGACCGGCGCACGGGUGCGUAACGCGUAUGCAACCUACCUCAUACUGGAGCAUAGCCCUUGGAAACGAGGAUUAAUACUCCAUGGUAUCAUUUUUUCGCAUGUUAGAAUGAUUAAAGAAUUUCGGUAUGAGAUGGGCAUGCGUCCCAUUAGCUAGUUGGUGAGGUAACGGCUCACCAAGGCGACGAUGGGUAGGGGGCCUGAGAGGGUGGUCCCCCACACUGGUACUGAGACACGGACCAGACUCCUACGGGAGGCAGCAGUGAGGAAUAUUGGUCAAUGGAGGCAACUCUGAACCAGCCAUGCCGCGUGAAGGAUGACGGCCCUAUGGGUUGUAAACUUCUUUUAUAUGGGAAGAAACUUAUCUACGUGUAGAUAACUGACGGUACCAUACGAAUAAGGAUCGGCUAACUCCGUGCCAGCAGCCGCGGUAAUACGGAGGAUCCAAGCGUUAUCCGGAUUCAUUGGGUUUAAAGGGUCCGUAGGCGGAUUUUUAAGUCAGUGGUGAAAGCCGGCAGCUCAACUGUCGAACUGCCAUUGAUACUGGAAAUCUUGAGUACAAAUGAAGUAGGCGGAAUGAGUCAUGUAGCGGUGA
Molecule: ribosomal RNA, 641 nt
Filed under: uncultured marine bacterium
Lineage: Bacteria
Description: bacterial SSU rRNA
Rfam family: Bacterial small subunit ribosomal RNA
Source: RNAcentral